GGUCACCAACAUGGGUCACCAGAUCAAGAUUUAUGGACGUGGAUAUAUUCUUCAACCUCACCACGCUCACCAUCCUGGUCAAUGAUGUUGUGGUGGAGGAGGUGGGCGUGGCAGCAGGUGGAGGCAUGCACUAGCAGCCUUACACGAGACGCGGGGCACCCUCUUGGCCUCUAGAACCAUCCCGACCUCCAAGCCCUCUGAGGCCUACAUCCUACGGCAUACCUUGAGGUCUCUCCAGCCAGGUCGAGUACUGGUGUUGGCCUUGGUGCCAGAUGGUGCCAGGUACUUGGCACCAGCUGAGUCACUCCUCCAUGACCUGGGGUGCCGCCUGCUCUCCAGUGUGGGCGUGGGUGAGGCAUGGGCAGCUAUCAUCAGUGGUAACGUGACCCACGAGGCCGUAGUCACCCGCACGCCCAUACCCAUCAACACCCGCAGUACCUACAACACCAUCCUGGCUCCUGUAGACCAUAGCCUGGGGGUCAGUGUGUCCAUACCAGCACGCGAGGCAAGACGAUGUCCUUGGCACAGUCGGCGUGAGAUGAUGCAGCAGCGGAUCUUCUGUGACACUUAUGAUGGAUUUCCGGAGCUGUGCCGCUGUCACCGCCCCCUGACACCUGCAGCUGCCCGGGCC
Long non-coding RNA from Homarus americanus (American lobster), 631 nucleotides. RefSeq lists it as uncharacterized. Lineage: Eukaryota; Metazoa; Arthropoda; Malacostraca; Decapoda; Nephropidae. The transcript is spliced from 4 exons. The record is from RefSeq and is a predicted model, not a curated record.